UGGGUUUGACAUGCACAGGAUCGGCGUAGAGAUACGUCUUCCCUUGUGGCCUGUGUGCAGGUGGUGCAUGGCUGUCGUCAGCUCGUGUCGUGAGAUGUUGGGUUAAGUCCCGCAACGAGCGCAACCCUUACCCUAUGUUGCCAGCACGUAAUGGUGGGGACUCGUGGGAGACUGCCGGGGUCAACUCGGAGGAAGGUGGGGAUGACGUCAGUGCUUGCCU
This 220-nucleotide unclassified non-coding RNA is filed under the name uncultured Actinomycetes bacterium. RNAcentral describes it as "uncultured actinobacterium contains 16S-23S intergenic spacer region". It matches the Rfam family "Bacterial small subunit ribosomal RNA", at positions 976 to 1200 of the family's 1533-position model. The record is from RNAcentral. Lineage: Bacteria; Bacillati; Actinomycetota; Actinomycetes.